Molecule: long non-coding RNA, 825 nt
Filed under: Marmota monax (woodchuck)
Lineage: Eukaryota; Metazoa; Chordata; Mammalia; Rodentia; Sciuridae
Source: RNAcentral
CAAAUUUCCAGGGUCUUGUUUUCUGGCUUUAUUUUCUUUUAAAGUUGGAGGAAAACGCUAGUGAGUGAAUAUCAGGGUGAAGGGAACUGUUUAUCUUCUAUCCUGGACAAACCCUCUUUGACAUUUUCUCUUUGGCACUGGAGCCAUCGAAGUAGAGAUGGCCAAGCUCACAGCAUACUGCCCAACCAGGUGAGCACCACACAUCCCAGUCAGUUUAGCCAUCAGAGACACCAGCCUAACCUUCAGAGUGUACCACAAAUGCAUAUUUCUUUCCAUAUGCAAAUGUGUGAAAACAAAAAUUCCAUAGAUUUUCUUCUGUGAACAAACUCUCUAAUGAUGGAGAUGUAGUUUAAAAAUAAGAGAGUAGGGAGAUUUUGGUUUUGUUUUCAACAGAAUUUCCUCUUUCUCCUGUAAGCAGCACCUGACACACAAUAUUUAAAAGCAUUGUCUUCCCAUGAAAAACUGUGGUGCCUUUUUGAUAUUUGGACCCAAAAUGUUAAGCUCUGUAUGAGUUCUACAUUAUCUAUCUUGUCUAUACUUGUAUUUUCUUGUUUGCAUCCCAUUUGGGUUAAAUAAUUGAUCCUUUUCAUUUGUAUUCCUCCUAGUUCCCCAGAGGUUUUGAGGUGGGUGAGCAUGGCUGGCUCAGAACCAGGUCAGUCGAACAGGAUGAGAUAAAACUUGGGAGGAGGGAAGCUGUCAAGGAGAAAGGAGGCACUUCUGAGAUGUAUUUUGGUCAGUUUGUGGAUUAUCUAUGUCUCCUGUGGGCUCACAGCAGGAAGUGGAGGCCCUUAUGCCUUGUGCCCUACUGGGAUUAUGAAAGGAAAC